GGGGCCGUAGCUCAACUGGAUAGAGCGAGAGUUUCCUAAACUCUAGGUUGGCGGUUCAAGUCCGCCCGGUCCCGCCA
Molecule: transfer RNA, 77 nt
Filed under: Acidobacteriota bacterium
Lineage: Bacteria; Pseudomonadati; Acidobacteriota
Also listed under: 7 other names
Description: Acidobacteria bacterium tRNA-Arg
Rfam family: tRNA
About the family: Transfer RNA (tRNA) molecules are approximately 80 nucleotides in length. Their secondary structure includes four short double-helical elements and three loops (D, anti-codon, and T loops). Further hydrogen bonds mediate the characteristic L-shaped molecular structure. tRNAs have two regions of fundamental functional importance: the anti-codon, which is responsible for specific mRNA codon recognition, and the 3' end, to which the tRNAs corresponding amino acid is attached (by aminoacyl-tRNA synthetases). tRNAs cope with the degeneracy of the genetic code in two manners: having more than one tRNA (with a specific anti-codon) for a particular amino acid; and 'wobble' base-pairing, i.e. permitting non-standard base-pairing at the 3rd anti-codon position.
Source: RNAcentral